GACUGAAUUCUGUUUUGGCUGAUCCUGGGGAUAGGGCCCUGGGUCAAUAGUUAAUUUCUUAUUUCCCGGAAGUGCAUAAGUGUUGCCCUCCAGCAUUCUAGGAAGCCUAAUUCGAAAGGGAGGCCUUGGAUGCAAGCUUUCUGUGCUGUCUGGAUUUACAAAACAAACCUGGAAUCUAGAAAGCUCUCCUUUAACUGUUCUGCAUCAAGGACAGUAUCUUUGAAAUCUACUGUUUCAAGAAGAUCAGGCAUAUUGGUCCAGUGUGCUGCAGAAGGAUUCUCAUAGCCCAGAAAUAUGUUGUGCA
Molecule: unclassified non-coding RNA, 304 nt
Filed under: Hevea brasiliensis (rubber tree)
Lineage: Eukaryota; Viridiplantae; Streptophyta; Magnoliopsida; Malpighiales; Euphorbiaceae
Source: RNAcentral